Ictalurus punctatus (channel catfish) is the source of this 1282-nucleotide long non-coding RNA. The record is from Ensembl. Lineage: Eukaryota; Metazoa; Chordata; Actinopteri; Siluriformes; Ictaluridae.
UUUUAAAUGUUCUUUUGCUCAUUUACAAUCAUGAAAAAGUAGCACUUGAGAUUAUUACUUCCUGUUUUGAACUACAUUCCACAUUUAGUGCAACAAGUCUUGAUUAACAGGUUUUUUUUUUACCCUUUUCUUCCUGCCAGCCAGAAAGUGACGUGAUUGAGGAUGCCCUUAAAAAUGUAAACGGUUAGGAGAUAUUGAAAACUCUCCAGAGAAAGCAAGACUGUCACAGCAAGAGAAAGUUAAAUGUUUGAUUUGAUUUCUUCCUUUUUAAAACCAUGCCAGCUUCUAUGGCUAUAUUCAUGGCAAGAGCUAGUGUAGAUAUUCAAGAUUAAAACUAGACUAGGUGUUUAAGAUUAAUUUUUCCUAAAAACCUUGAAACUAAGUUUGGAUUUACUUGGUUAAAAACCUUUUCAAAAUUGUCAACAGAGUAAUACAGGUUCCUCAAGUGUGUAGAAGCAUUACAGUCCAGUAAGACAUGUUUAAUGGAUAAUGGGUUCUGACAGGAUGGGCACUUUGGUGAAUUUCCUCCAGAUACUAAAAAAUGGUGUGUGAGCCUUGUGUGUCCUAUCCGGCAUUGAGUGUAAGUGACUAAAGUUAAAGUUUAAUUAAACAGUUUAAUUAAACAAUUGCUAAAUAUAUGGCAACACUUGAAUAAAAUGGGGGAAACCUAGAAGAAUAAGACAGUCAUUAAAACUUGUACCACAAAUCGAGCUGGCACUGUUAACUAAACAUUAGGGUUUCCCUUCUACACACAGACACAAAUAAUUGAUUAAGGUUCAGCCUGGUUUACUCUUCAGCUUGUUUGUUUCACUGUGGAGUCACAUUCCAGUCAGGAGAUACCUGAUUCGUGUAGGCAGUGGGAAAAAGUCCAAGCUGCACCUGACUGCGACUCAACCAUCUGCUCGAAAUAGAUGAAGACAAGUUACUAAAGAAGGCCUGCAGCACUGGUUUAUAAUGCUGAUGAUUAACUAAAUAGAGGCUGCAGUCUGGGAGAGCAGGUCUGCUUGGGGUUUUCAUUUCAUGGGUCCUGACUGUGCGAGAGGAAGCCGGAGCCAUCUCAGGCGCUUAGUAGAAAUUUGAGAUUUUUUUUUCUUUCUGUCCCCCAUACUCCCUUUUUUGUCACAUUCUUUACCUGAGUCCCUUUCACGACGGUAAGGUUACAGGUUCUCUCCCUCUCUCCCUCUCUUUCUCUUCUCUCCCUCGUGUGCAUGCUUUUUUUUUUCCCUUCUAUUCACCUCUUUUAGCUUUUACAUGUACUCUCCCGCCUCAUUUCAAUUCUGCC